CAGUCGCCACGGUAAUACGGAGGGUGCAAGCGUUAAUCGGAAUUACUGGGCGUAAAGCGUGCGUAGGCGGUUCGUUAAGUCUGCUGUGAAAGCCCCGGGCUCAACCUGGGAAUGGCAAUGGAUACUGGCGAGCUAGAGUGUGUCAGAGGAUGGUGGAAUUCCCGGUGUAGCGGUGAAAUGCGUAGAGAUCGGGAGGAACAUCAGUGGCGAAGGCGGCCAUCUGGGACAACACUGACGCUGAGGCACGAAAGCGUGGGGAGCAAACAGGAUUAGAUACCCCCGUAGUCCCUGUCUCUUAUAC
Molecule: ribosomal RNA, 301 nt
Filed under: uncultured bacterium
Lineage: Bacteria
Description: partial 16S ribosomal RNA
Rfam family: Bacterial small subunit ribosomal RNA
Source: RNAcentral